RNAcentral lists this ribosomal RNA (544 nucleotides) under Hafnia alvei. RNAcentral's name for it is "bacterial SSU rRNA". It matches the Rfam family "Bacterial small subunit ribosomal RNA", at positions 1 to 533 of the family's 1533-position model. Lineage: Bacteria; Pseudomonadati; Pseudomonadota; Gammaproteobacteria; Enterobacterales; Hafniaceae. The record is from RNAcentral.
UUAAUUGAAGAGUUUGAUCAUGGCUCAGAUUGAACGCUGGCGGCAGGCCUAACACAUGCAAGUCGAGCGGUAGCACAGGAGAGCUUGCUCUCUGGGUGACGAGCGGCGGACGGGUGAGUAAUGUCUGGGAAACUGCCUGAUGGAGGGGGAUAACUACUGGAAACGGUAGCUAAUACCGCAUGACGUCUUCGGACCAAAGUGGGGGACCUUCGGGCCUCACGCCAUCAGAUGUGCCCAGAUGGGAUUAGCUAGUAGGUGGGGUAAUGGCUCACCUAGGCGACGAUCUCUAGCUGGUCUGAGAGGAUGACCAGCCACACUGGAACUGAGACACGGUCCAGACUCCUACGGGAGGCAGCAGUGGGGAAUAUUGCACAAUGGGCGCAAGCCUGAUGCAGCCAUGCCGCGUGUAUGAAGAAGGCCUUCGGGUUGUAAAGUACUUUCAGCGAGGAGGAAGGCAUUGUGGUUAAUAACCGCAGUGAUUGACGUUACUCGCAGAAGAAGCACCGGCUAACUCCGUGCCAGCAGCCGCGGUAAUACGGAGGGU